GGUGCGUUAGCGAAGUUGGUUAUCGUGCCUCCCUGUCACGGAGGAGAUCACGGGUUCGAGUCCCGUACGCACCGCCA
Molecule: transfer RNA, 77 nt
Filed under: Erysipelotrichaceae bacterium
Lineage: Bacteria; Bacillati; Bacillota; Erysipelotrichia; Erysipelotrichales; Erysipelotrichaceae
Also listed under: 3 other names
Description: tRNA-Asp
Rfam family: tRNA
About the family: Transfer RNA (tRNA) molecules are approximately 80 nucleotides in length. Their secondary structure includes four short double-helical elements and three loops (D, anti-codon, and T loops).
Source: RNAcentral